This 308-nucleotide small nuclear RNA is filed under the name Anolis carolinensis (green anole). RNAcentral describes it as "7SK RNA". It matches the Rfam family "7SK RNA". Rfam says of the family: 7SK was discovered as an abundant small nuclear RNA in the mid-70s but a possible function has only recently been suggested. Two independent studies have found that 7SK RNA binds the CDK9/cyclin T complex (known as elongation factor P-TEFb). The record is from Rfam by way of RNAcentral. Lineage: Eukaryota; Metazoa; Chordata; Lepidosauria; Squamata; Anolidae.
GGUUGUGAAGGCGAUCUGGCUACGACAUCUGUCACCCCAUUGAUUGCCAGGGUUGAUUCGGCUGAUCUGGCUGGCUAGGCGGGUGUCCCCUUCCUCCCUCACUGCUCCCUCCCGAAGCUGCGCGCUCAGUGGAAGAGGAUAACAUCCCAGGUAUAGAAGGAGUGUACCGAGGUCUCCAGUCUUCGGUCCCGGGUAUACAAUAGCUGCGCUUCCCUGCUAGAACCUCCAAACAAGAACCAUUUUUUUCAUCAAUUGCACAGCCCUAUUAGCCAAUUGUUAGUACACAAAUCAUUCAUUUGGUUUAUUCU